CAUCUGAAUCUGCUGCCACGAUUCACCUCUACAAACUUUCUGUUCCCCACAAAGCAGCAUUCUCUCUCCUCCUCUCUCUCUCUCUCUCCCUCCAUACGUAAUUGUUUUUUUUAUUAUACAAAACCAUGAAUGCUUCUCUCUAUGGAAAUCGAAGCACAAUUUCAGAUCGUGCAUCUCCGUCUUCACUCUCCUUUUCCCCGAUUCCACUUCUCCUCGCUCAUCGGUUCAAUUUUCUCCUUCUGCGCCGCGGAUCGGUGAUUUUGACCUCAGAAUACGAGAUGAAGUGAUAAAUCCUUUUCCCUUUCAAUAAGCUAUGGAUUCGUUAAGCUCAAAGGAAUUCCAAUGAUGUAAGUAUUGUCUAAUAUGUCUCCCACGAAACUUCUCCCCGCCUUUCAUGGAACCUUCAGCAUUCCCUUCACCUGAUAUUACACUCUCUGGUUCAUAAGAUCAAUGCUCUUAAUAGAGAGAGGUACACACGAGCAAAUGAGUUGGGCAUGGGAAAAUCAUCCAGGUUUUGUGUAUAAUGGUACAAGACUGACAUUUGGCCAGGAAGUUUACCUUGACUUCAGAAAUUGAAUUCACCAACUGGUGGGCAGGUACUCUUACGAGGUAGACUCGACCAUUUGUUGGUGGUUCUUGCAUAUGUUGAUGUACUCGUAACAAAGAGGUUGUUAAGGAAGAAAAGGGCAGAGUGGAAGACUUAUACUUUGAAGAAAUGGAUUGAUGUUUCAUGUCACAUGGACUUGUAGCUCAACGCAUGGGCCAUAACCGUAGAAUGGUUAUUGCAUGGUCCGUGGAAGUCUUCUAUGCAUUACCAUUGAAAUUGCCAAGAGGGAAGCACGUCCUGUGCUUAAACUGAUGUUGUAACACGGCCCGUGCAAGUCAAGGGGAGUCCAUGAGCACUUGUUCGUAACAUUGUCACGAAACACACCUUUGAGAAAAGACCAUGUAUGACCCUUCAAUAUUUGGAAUAGCCGACUCUCGGCCUGCGAGAGUGAUGCACGGACCUUGCAUGUAUGGUUGUUCAACACACAACUCGUGCCUUAGACUUGUCGAUUAUCAGCAAAUUAGUGAGUUAAAGCGAGAGAAGUCAGUUUUACACA
Non-coding RNA from Salvia hispanica, 1103 nucleotides. The record is from RefSeq and is a predicted model, not a curated record. Lineage: Eukaryota; Viridiplantae; Streptophyta; Magnoliopsida; Lamiales; Lamiaceae.